RNAcentral lists this ribosomal RNA (255 nucleotides) under uncultured bacterium. Its description in RNAcentral is "partial 16S ribosomal RNA". It matches the Rfam family "Bacterial small subunit ribosomal RNA", at positions 524 to 776 of the family's 1533-position model. The record is from RNAcentral.
UACAGAGGUCCCAAGCGUUGUUCGGAUUCAUUGGGCGUAAAGGGUGCGUAGGCGGUGAAGUAAGUUGGAUGUGAAAUCCCGGGGCUCAACCCCCGGAACUGCACUCAAUACUGCUUUGCUAGAGGACUGGAGAGGAGAUUGGAAUUCACGGUGUAGCAGUGAAAUGCGUAGAUAUCGUGAGGAAGACCAGUGGCGAAGGCGAAUCUCUGGACAGUAUCUGACGCUGAGGCACGAAGGCUAGGGGGAGCAAACGGG